GGCUCAGUAGGCUAAGCGUGAGUGGCUGCCCCAAAGCCACCCAAUGACCCUCUUGGUCAAGUGGAGACUAAAACCCAAAUCUCCAGAGUCCCAGCAGUCCCAUGCUCCAACCACUAGACCAUCCUGGCUCUCAGUUUGAGGCUGGCAGGAAACUUCAGUAGUAUAUUCAUGAGACCUUCCUGACUUUUCAUGCCUUUUGAAGACACUUCUCACGGGCAACAGACUGUGCUACUUCACCUCUGUCAGUUGAGAGCUGCCUAAUCUUUGGAAUGUGUCUAGUCUCUUAUUUAUUAUUCAUUUAUUUAAGAUUUUUUUAUACUGUGGUUCAUUAAACAUCUCAUGACAGUUUACAUACUUCCUGCUGAUAGAUGAUAAGAAUGCUGAACUCCUUCUCUGUCAUUCAACAGGAAACAAUAAGCAGGGGGUUGUUGUGGCUCAAUUUUCUGUUAUUUUGUCUUGACCAGCCAUCACAUUCCAGGGCACCCUGACACGGAAGACUUGCGGCUUCUUCCGAGAAGCUCCUCGGAUGCUCUCACCCCGUAUGACAGACAUGGGCCAGAAAGUGGGAGAGCUUGGCAUGCAAUGAAAUCCACACUUCUGGAAUGUUAGGAGCCCGGUCAAGAUUAACUCGUUUGUACUCAAAGUGGAAGUAAUCAGAAAGGCUUAAUCCAGCCAAAGUUAAUCACCGAAAGUCCAGGGACGGGACCAAGACACACCAACAAACUGGAUUCCUACAAGCUUCAGCAGGAAUGGAUUCCGACUGUUUUGUGCUGGGCUGGGCUUUGCAUUGUUCAUGUAUGUGAAGUUGCUCUGUGCACCAAUUUCCUGCAUUUAACAGAAGGCGUGGUUUCAAGGGGACUGAAAUGCUUGUGCACUCUUACAUUUUGGCCCAGAAAAACAGAACAUUCAGAGCUCUGCUGAACCAGAUUGCCUGUCGAUUUAUCCCAGCAUCCUGUUUCCAACAGUGGAUAGUCACAUGGCUCUGGGGAGCCCUAAAAGUAAUUCUCCCCUGCUGUUUGCUCCUCAGUAUUUGGAAGUAUAUUCCCUCUGCUCCUUGCAAAUGCACUUCCUGAAUGAUUACAA
Molecule: long non-coding RNA, 1083 nt
Organism: Varanus komodoensis (Komodo dragon)
Lineage: Eukaryota; Metazoa; Chordata; Lepidosauria; Squamata; Varanidae
Exons: 2
Source: RefSeq, a predicted model, not a curated record